Molecule: ribosomal RNA, 480 nt
Filed under: uncultured bacterium
Lineage: Bacteria
Description: bacterial SSU rRNA
Rfam family: Bacterial small subunit ribosomal RNA
Source: RNAcentral
UUGAACGCUGGCGGCAGGCUUAACACAUGCAAGUCGAGCGGUAGCAGGCCUUCGGGUGCUGACGAGCGGCGAACGGGUGAGUAACGCGUAGGAAUCUACCUGGUAGAGGGGGAUAGCCCGGGGAAACUCGGAUUAAUACCGCAUACGCCCUACGGGGGAAAGCAGGGGAUCUUCGGACCUUGCGCUAUCAGAUGAGCCUGCGUCGGAUUAGCUAGUUGGUGAGGUAAAGGCUCACCAAGGCGACGAUCCGUAGCUGGUCUGAGAGGAUGAUCAGCCACACUGGAACUGAGACACGGUCCAGACUCCUACGGGAGGCAGCAGUGGGGAAUAUUGGACAAUGGGGGAAACCCUGAUCCAGCCAUGCCGCGUGUGUGAAGAAGGCCCUAGGGUUGUAAAGCACUUUAAGCAGGGAGGAAAGGGUGAUGGCUAAUAUCCAUCAUCAUUGACGCUACCUGCAGAAUAAGCACCGGCUAACUUCGU